GUAAGGAAUAUUGGUCAAUGGUGGGAACACUGAACCAGCCAUCCCGCGUGCAGGACGAAGGCCCUCUGGGUUGUAAACUGCUUUUACCAGGAAAGAAACGAGUGGAUUCAUCUGCUCCUGACGGUACCUGGGGAAUAAGCACCGGCUAACUCCGUGCCAGCAGCCGCGGUAAUACGGAGGGUGCAAGCGUUAUCCGGAAUCACUGGGUUUAAAGGGUGCGUAGGCGGCUUGAUAAGUCAGGGGUGAAAGCUCACCGCUCAACGGUGGAACUGCCCUUGAUACUGUCAGGCUCGAAUUGGGUUGAGGCAGGCGGAAUGUGGCAUGUAGCGGUGAAAUGCUUAGAUAUGCCAUAGAACACCGAUUGCGAAGGCAGCCUGCCAAGCCUUGAUUGACGCUGAGGCACGAAAGCGUGGGGAGCGAACAGGAUUAGAAACCCUAGUAGUCC
Molecule: ribosomal RNA, 445 nt
Filed under: uncultured bacterium
Lineage: Bacteria
Description: bacterial SSU rRNA
Rfam family: Bacterial small subunit ribosomal RNA
Source: RNAcentral